This 2492-nucleotide small RNA is filed under the name Rattus norvegicus (Norway rat). RNAcentral's name for it is "uncharacterized LOC108352735". Lineage: Eukaryota; Metazoa; Chordata; Mammalia; Rodentia; Muridae. The record is from RNAcentral.
AAACCAAGGCCUCUACAGGAUCGUCACGAGGCUAAGCAAAGUAGGGAAGCAAGGAAACAUUUGAGAUUCGAAGAUGAGCCGGAUUUUUUAAAAAGAUUUUAAAAUAAUGUAUUAAAUUUUAAUUAUGUAUAUAUUUGUGUCUGCCCAUAGAAAUGUGUGAGCGCAGGUGCCCUCUGAGGUCAGAAAAGGCUGUCUGAGGCCUGGGAGCUGAGGUUACAGGUAGCUGUGAGCCACAGGGUGUGGGUGCUAGGGACCAGAGGCAGCGAUCUCUCUGUCCUCUCAUCUGCUUUUUCUGAACUUCAUUACCAACCCCUUACCCUUUCAGAACUAGGGUGACAUCCUGGCUCUGGGGUGGUUCGGGAUCCCCCACUGGCUUCCCUCAACCCCACCACCACUCGUUUGUAAAGAGCCUUUCAGGAAAACUUCCUCUUUGCCCUCUGAACAUGUGACAUCUCUUGCCAGGGCUCUGGCACUGCCCUUGUAAGUGCCGUUACAGAGCAAAGGGACUGACGGUUGUGUUUCUACUGUGUAACUAAAGCCACCUAGCCUGCUCUUCCUGGAUGGAGACCCUGUGCACCUGCGAGGGCACGCAGGAAGUUGAAAUAGAUCAUUCCUAUCCGCGGCAUCUCCACCUCUUAGGAUUUUAAAUAUUUAUUCGAGAAAGAGAAACUUGAUCUCAUCCCUAAGACUCUCCAAUCACUCGCUGCCAAGAGGAGAAAGCCGGUAGUCAGCCCAAUAAACACCGGUCUGACAAUCGCCCUAAUGUUUCAAAUCUCUGAAAGGAGCGGCGGGUGGAGGCGGGGCAGGUGAGCCGCUCUGUACCUCUGCAGUUGAGGCCUUGCCUAGCGAGCCUGGAUGUCCACAGAGCCUCGCCAAAGGCGCAGAGACACCAUCUUCACCCAUCUGCGCCUUGGUAUCUCCUCCUAGAAUGGUUCCCGCGAGAGUCCCACGAUUUCCCUGCUAGUUAAGGAAGUUUUCUGCACUGCUUGUGAUCGUGAGACUCAGGCCAACGUGGAAAAGAACAGAACCAACUGCUUUGUGUGAAGACAGGAGUGUAGUCGGUACUGGGCCUCAGAAGCUGCCUCAUCAGCUGACGGUGACCCGACCCGAGAGGGAGUGAGCGAAGGAAAAACCUACAGCAAGAGGACCUGGGGUGUGCGGUGCUGUGUGCCUGCGAUGUCCUCUAUUUACAUACAGCAGCCAUCGUUUGCUGUAAUAUAGAUCUUACACAUCCUACGAACUAAAUGCACCGGCCAAAGCCUUUUCCAUCCAGAAGCUACAAUAACUCCAUUUCCCCCCUCAUCACCAAAUGAUAUAAGCUGGUCUUCAGAAUGAAGAAAAACAGGAAUGGCUGCACCUACCCAGCAGGACUCACUUUGCCCCAACCAGGCAAACAGUUUCCCAAGAAGUCCUGCGGCUCCGGGCCUCACUGUGUCAUCUUGCACCACUCCAGCCAGAGCAAAGCCAGACAAGGUUGAUUCAAGAGGACCAUCCUCGAGCUUUUCUCAAGGUCUGUGACUGACCUCUUAUGGACAACUGUUUGCACAGCAAUACAUGCUCACAGCCACCCAAACUAGGAAUGAUAUAAUUACACCAAACACGUUUGGUUCUUAGAUCACAAAUUUCUAAUCCAUUCAUUCUACAAACAGAGGUAGUAACUAGUCUCUGAAGGUGCCCUCGCAAGAACCCUACCUCAUGGUAUAAAACCCUUUGAAGUCCUUUCUCACAGGAAAUCUAGAGGACCUUCAUGACACACACUGUACAGUAGAAUUCUGUGACAUGGCAUUCUUCCAGCUCUAAGUCCAAGCCUAAAGAAGGAGUCUAAUUUUCAGUUUCUAAAAUCUCUUAGCUAACUGAUCAGCGGCCUCUUGGCUAAGAUCGAGUGUAGACUCUCCUAGCUGACAAGGAAGAAGUCAGGCCACAGACUUAAAGAGACCACACAGAGAAGAGAUCACACAGAGAGUGACUCCUGCCCUGCAGACAAGCCCCAGAGGCGCCCUAAGUCAAGUUUCCAGGACCAACCGGAUUCCAGGUGCGGCAACCUAAAGCACCCAAAAUGAUUGGAAGACGUUUGCUGUUCGUGACGUCAUGAAGCCCUGGGGCAUUUCCCCACUCUCACGCCAGCUGCGCCGGGACUUCACUUGUCCUUGUGGGCUCAAGAGCGUCUGUGCGAAACCUGCUGGGUGUCUGUGAGUUUCCAGUUCCUAAAGUCCUCUGCUGGCUAGUGUUAUGACAACCUGACCCAGAGUCAUCUUGGAAGAGAACAUGUCCCUAUUAGAUGGGACUGUGGGCAAGUGCAUUUUCUUUAUUGGUGAUUGAUCCUGAUGGGACCAACUCAUCGUGAGCUAUUCCACUUCUGGGCUUGUGGUUCUAGAAGCUACAAGAAAGCAGGCUGGCCAGGCGGUACUGGCCCAGGUUUGGGAAGGAAAGAAGGAAGGAAGGAAAGAAAGAAGGAAGGAAAGAAAGAAGGAAAGAAGGAAAGAAGGAAGGAA